This 486-nucleotide ribosomal RNA is filed under the name uncultured bacterium. RNAcentral describes it as "partial 16S ribosomal RNA". It matches the Rfam family "Bacterial small subunit ribosomal RNA", at positions 29 to 507 of the family's 1533-position model. The record is from RNAcentral.
AUUGAACGCUGGCGGCAUGCCUUACACAUGCAAGUCGAACGGCAGCACGGGUGAUUGCUCCUGGUGGCGAGUGGCGAACGGGUGAGUAAUACAUCGGAACAUGUCCUGUAGUGGGGGAUAGCCCGGCGAAAGCCGGAUUAAUACCGCAUACGAUCUACGGAUGACAGCGGGGGACCUUCGGGCCUCGACCUAUGAGGUUGGCCGAUGGCAGUUUACGUAGUUGGGGGGGUAAAGGCAGACCAAGGCGGAGCACAGCAGCGGGUCAUAGCGGAGGACCAGCCACUCUGGGACGGGGACACGGCCCAGACUCCUACGGGAGGCAGCAGUGGGGAAUUUUGGACAAUGGGCGAAAGCCUGAUCCAGCAAUGCCGCGUGUGUGAAGAAGGCCUUCGGGUUGUAAAGCACUUUUGUCCGGAAAGAAAUCCUUGGCUCUAAUACAGUCGGGGGAUGACGGUACCGGAAGAAUAAGCACCGGCUAACUACGUG